UACGGGGGGGGCAGGCGUUGUUCGGAAUUACUGGGCGUAAAGGGUUCGUAGGUGGCUUGCUAAGUCAGACGUGAAAUCCCUCAGCUUAACUGGGGAACUGCGUCUGAUACUGGCGAGCUUGAGUGCAGGAGAGGAACGCGGAAUUCCAGGUGUAGCGGUGAAAUGCGUAGAUAUCUGGAGGAACACCGGUGGCGAAGGCGGCGUUCUGGACUGCAACUGACACUGAUGAACGAAAGCCAGGGGAGCAAACGGG
Molecule: ribosomal RNA, 253 nt
Filed under: uncultured bacterium
Lineage: Bacteria
Description: partial 16S ribosomal RNA
Rfam family: Bacterial small subunit ribosomal RNA
Source: RNAcentral